UGCGUAGGCGGGCUAAUAAGUCAGUGGUGAAAUCUCUCGGCUCAACCGGGAAACUGCCAUUGAUACUGUUAGUCUUGAGUUCGGUUGAGGUAGGCGGAAUGUGUAAUGUAGCGGUGAAAUGCUUAGAUAUUACACAGAACACCAAUUGCGUAGGCAGCUUACUAGACCGACACUGACGCUGAGGCACGAAAGCGUGAGGAGCGAACAGGAUUAGAUACCCUGGUAGUC
This 228-nucleotide ribosomal RNA is filed under the name uncultured bacterium. RNAcentral describes it as "partial 16S ribosomal RNA". It matches the Rfam family "Bacterial small subunit ribosomal RNA", at positions 568 to 795 of the family's 1533-position model. The record is from RNAcentral.